UAUGAAGGCCAACAGAGUGCUGGACUCCAU
Molecule: non-coding RNA, 30 nt
Filed under: Mus musculus (house mouse)
Lineage: Eukaryota; Metazoa; Chordata; Mammalia; Rodentia; Muridae
Source: RNAcentral